GGUUCAGUCGGCACCAAAUCGGUUUCUAUGCUUUCAAACCGAUUUCGAGUGGGGUUUAUACGGUUUUAUUUCACCAAUCGGACUAUGUUUUUUCUCACAUCGAUUCUGAUUUUGAGCCUGACAAUGGUAGGUUUGAUGCCACAGUAUUUUAAACAAGGAACGUUAUCAUGUUGUAGAAGAACUUGAAAAACUGCUAAAGUGAAUCUCCUUCAGCACAAAACAAUUAUUUCACUCGUUGGAAAUGUUCGGAGGGCGUCACGUGUAUUGGAGAAGGUCUUCUUCCAACUCUGAUGGUGAUUUUGGUUCUCUGUUGUUUGGUUUACGGAACAAGCUGGAAACGACUACAAAAAACGAAGCGCUCCCGUGCCCAGGAAACAUGAGGUCGUGAACGGAGAACAACUCGUGGUGACCUCCGAGGUUCCAUAUCGAAAGCUUCGUGUCUUCGUCUUU
Molecule: long non-coding RNA, 450 nt
Filed under: Helianthus annuus (common sunflower)
Lineage: Eukaryota; Viridiplantae; Streptophyta; Magnoliopsida; Asterales; Asteraceae
Source: RNAcentral